GAAAGCUUUUGUUUCGGGAGCAUUUUUCCUAGAGUUCUUGAGGAUAGGAAUGAAGAUGGCCGCCUCCGGCCCGGAGGAGCCGAGAGCUUGGGGUCCCGCUCCUCAGUGCGCCCUCAGAGAAAAGCACCCAACUGUCUCCGUCUCCCUGGCCUCUGGCUGCGCUUGGGAGAAAGCACUCAAUCACUCGCACUUGGAGAAAACUGACUGGUUGCUUCUGUGUCUGUGGCCUCCGGCCACACUCCGAGCUCACCCAUCCUGCAACUGGUUCAAGAUGGCAAAACUGUUAAGUAAUAAGAAAUUCACAUAGUUUGUAAGAGGCAGAGCCAAGAUCAUGAACAAAGAAUUCCUGAUUCCCUCAAGUCUUCACCAGCAGCAGCUUCCUGCCUUUGUUCUGAUGAGUUGAACAAACUUGUGGCUUUUCUGAAAAAAGACACCUCCAACUUCAACUGACUCAGUCCUAAUGAGAGCUCUGCAGCAAAAAGCUAAGAAGACCAUGCACAUGAGGUGAGUGACUCAUAUAAGAUGGGAAGCUGGCUAACUGGUUAGCCCUGAAUUUAACAAAGUUAACACCCAAGAGAAAGUUUCCAAACUUUGACUAAGCCAAAAAGAGGAAAUGCCAUAUGAGAACACAAUGAGAAGAGUCCAUCUACAAGCCAGGAAGAGAGGCCUCCCCAGAAACCAAUCCUAAGAGCAUCCUGAUCUUGGACUUUCAGCUUACAGGGCCAUAAGAAAAUAAACUUCUGGUUUAAACAACCCAGCCUGUGGUAUUUUGUUAUGGCAGACUGAACAGAAUCACUCCAUAGCCCUUUGUUUAAACCCCUCCUCUGUUUUAUGAAUUCUUAUUCACUAAGUCUCUGCAGGCAUGUUAUUGUUUAAGAAAGUAAAAGUGAAAGUACAAAAAAUUUUAAUUUAAAUAUUAGUUUCCAUUCAAAAUAUCUUUUUAAAAGAUUUUUAAAAAUUUAUUCAUUUGGGAGAGGGAACAGAGAGACAGAGAGCACAAGCAGGGGCAGAGGCAGUGGGAAAGGAACAUGCAGGCUCCUCACUUGGCUGAGAGCCCAACAUGGAGCUCUAUCCCAGACCUGGAGAUCACAACCUGAGCCAAAGUCAGAUGCUUAAACAUCUGAGCCACCCAGGCACCCCUCCACUCAACACAUCUUUUUCUGUUUAGCAAUUGCAUGAAUAAUCCUUUUCCCUUUCUUUGAAACUCUAUCAGUGUAUGGAUGAUUAUCCAAUUUUAUAAAUAUAAAAAAGUGUACUGGGGAAUCACAGGCAUAGAUACUGAGAAAUAAUGACCUGAAAGAAGGAAACAAUGACAGUGAUAAUGUCAGAAUAAACACUUUAAAAGAGAAUGGUUUUGAAUAACAAAUUGUAAAAGACCAUUGGGAAAAAUUGAUAAAGUUUCCAUAUAUCUUUGUAACAAUGACCCUUUAUGUUCUAUAAAAUGUCAAAUGUAAAAUAAAGGA
Long non-coding RNA from Mustela lutreola (European mink), 1463 nucleotides. RefSeq lists it as uncharacterized. The transcript is spliced from 4 exons. The record is from RefSeq and is a predicted model, not a curated record. NCBI's taxonomy places the organism in Eukaryota, Metazoa, Chordata, Mammalia, Carnivora, Mustelidae.